CUGGAGGCGGCGCUCGAGAAAGUUCUCCACCGUAAGGGCCAACACGUAAUCCAGCUUGUUCUGGCUCUCCUCCAAAAGCCCAUACCUAUUCAUCCUCCUCAAAAGCGCCUCACCCUCAAAGAUGCGGCGAGAGUUCUUCUCAUCAAGGGUUAGAAGCAUUCUGGCAGCAUUACGAAUGCGACUCAAUGCAUACUGGACCCUCCAGAGUUCCCUCUUGGCACGGAGCCCGUACUCUCCGACGAGCUUCAGCUCAGCAUCCAAACGUUCCUUCUCAUAGGGACGCCUGGGUUUCUUAAAAGUUUUCCCGUCUAUAGAAAAAAAAAACAAAGAACACCAAGUUCACUAUUAUUAUUCGACUCAUCAAACCAAAAUCAAUAUGCAGAGCCCAAAUGAUAAGCACUAUGGGGUACAGAAAAUUGAAAGCUAAAUUUCAAAACUCUCAGUAAAACAAUACGCAUCAGAUUUUCCGUCUUUCAUCACUUCAUAAUUUGCAAACAGCAGAAGAUAGAAAAAUAAGCUAAAAUAAGUUGAAACUCGACAGAAACACCUCAUAAGAUUAAGAAAUUGGACUGAAAAUUAAAAGAAAGAUAGAUCGGUAGCUUACAGUUACGAUAGAAGGAGACGUGCACCAUGCUUGUAGACUGCCGCCUGCGAACUUAGGGUUUAGGGUGGCGAUUGACAAGGAUAGAACAUGUAUUUAUAUCCCCAUAUACCCUAACUUAUUUGGGCUGGUGUUAUAACCAAUUGGGCUAAAGCCUCAAACCUCUUUCUUUUGCUUUUGUUUUACUGUUUUUUCUCAGUAUUUACUGGACCGCUUCAAGCUAGCUAGCUUUAACUAAGUUAAAUUUUUUUCUAAAUAAAAUAAAAAUGAUAAUAGUGAUUUUAAAGGGGUCAAAAAAAUAGGGUUCGGAUAAGAUAAUUGUUUCAGUUCCAUAAGUCUAAUUAAUUUAAUAAUAUAAUUAUAAAAAAAUAAAUACAUUUUAAUAUUAUGAAAAAUGUCCUCUGAAUAAUCUAAAAGGUCAUAAUAAUAUUAUUUGAUAAAAAAAUAAAAAUGAAAUGAGAACGGAAUAACCUUAGAAAAAAAAAGAAUAAAAAAGGUCUUAAUUAUUAAUAAAUUAAAUGUUAAAGGAUGAAUUGAAGAGAAAAAUCAAUUGUAAAAAAGGAUAAAAAUAUAUGACUCAAGUCAGCAUGCUGAAUUCGUGGUUUAAUUGUGAGGUUAAGACAACCUUGCACAAAAAAAAUUGAAUAAAACAAUGAAAGGCGAAACUGAAAAAAAAAUUAAAAAAAACAUGAGUUAACUCGAGUUAACUUAAUUAACCCAUGACUUAGAAUAUGAGAUCGAAAUAACUCUAUAGGAAAAAAAAAGUGAAAAAAAUCACGAAGCUAAAGGUCCAAUAACAUAAUGUUAAAUGAUGAAAAUAAAAAAAACUAUUUUUUUAUAAAAAAAAACCUAAAAAGGACUGAAGUCAAAUCAAAUUAAUCUUCAAAACCUAUAACUCGGGUCAUGAGACUAGGUUACCCCAUAGAAUGCAAAACCAAAAAAAAUCACAAAGCACAAUUUCCAGUCAUCUAACAAAAUAGAUAGCAAUCGAAAUAAUAAGGAUCAAAUUUGGUAUAAAAAUUAAAUUAAAUAAAAGAAUGAGGGAUGAAAUUAAAAAAUAAAAUAAAUCAAGAAAAGGAUACAAAAAAAUGAAAUUAAGAGAAUGAAGACCAAAAUUGGUAUAAAUUAAAUGAAAUAAAGUAAUGAGGGAUUGGACCAAAUCCGGUAUAAAUUUAAAUGAAACAAAGUAAUGAGGGAUGAACUUGAGAAAUAAAAUAAAUCAAGAUAAGGAUAGAAAACCAAGAAAUAACAAUCGAGAUAAUGAAGACCAAAUAUGAUAUAUGGAAAAAUUAAAAGAGAAUAAAAUUGAAAAAUAAAUUUAAUUUUAUAAAUUAUUUUAAAUAAAAUCAAUAGUAAUCAAAAUAAUAAGGAUAAGAUUUGAAUGAAAAAAUUAAAGAGUUGUUUGAGAAAUUACAGGAGUGGACAUGAAAAUCGGCAGGGAGAGAAAAAGAAAAGGAAAAAAGAUCAUCGACGUUAAUUUUAUGGUUCGUUGAUUACACGUGUUGUUCUAAAAUAGAGAGGUUAUCGAUAAAAUUCGAACAUUGGCCUAGAAUCAACUAUUUGGCUUCUGGACUAGCCCUUACAUGUCCACUUUGAAAACAAUAUCUACCACUUUUAAACAAGCACUUAGUUAUCUGACUAAAAGUUGGUUUUCAUGCAGCUGAAGCAGAGAGUGAGGAAGCGACAAGAAGGUUUGAGACAAUUGUGAGACUGAUGAACGAAGAAAUUGUGCGCUUUCAAGAACAGAAAACAUUGGAUAUGGGGAUUGCUUUCCAUGAAUUUGCAAAAGGACAGGCACGUUUGGCAAAUAGCAUUGCAGAUGCUUGGAGAAGUCUUCUUCCAAAACUCGAAGCAUGUUCCUCGUAAUGAGAGUAUUUUUCUUCCUUCUUAGGAAUGAUGGGCCCAGCUCUUGCUUUGUAAAAACCAUAGGGUUUGGGAAGUUCUGCUAUUCUGGUGUUGUACAAUUUGACUCCUUUGCAAAUUUUUGUUUCUUGUACAAAUUUGAAGCCUUGUGAAGAACAACAAGAGCGAAACACGAAAAAUGUUCGUCUGUCUCAUACUUUAGAUCCUCUCUUCCAUUAAGAUCUUCACAUCUCCAAAAUAUUUUUACAUUAUUAUGCAAAUCAAUCAUAUUUUUUGUUUGCGGUGGUUUUUCCAAAGAACCGUAUUAGACUGUUGUCCUAGUUUUGGAUGUUCCCACCUGCACGAGAUUGGACAGAAAGGAUUAAGAAAGAAAGACGGGUGUUUAUGUUCAAAGAUGUUAUUUAGUGAUUUCCAGGCAUGAUUUCGGCAGAUUGAUUCCCCGAUGAUCUGGAGGCGGGAAUUCUCCUGCUGCCUGGAUAAACUCUGAUUUUUCUUUAAAAAAGAAAUAAAGAUCAUGCAAUUACAAGUCAUCCUGUAUCAUUCCAGUGUUCUGAUCAUGUUCAUGCAUUCGCCAUCUUCAAAUGUGAAGCUUUUUUGUAAGUUGGAGUGAGAUCUCCAUCAACAUUCGAAUUUUCAACUUCCAAACAAAGGGGAAGAUAAAAUACUACAGAUUUGGUUCAAGCGUAAAACAAGGGCUAGCUAUAUUUAUCAAGAAAACAAUAAAUUCCAAAGGCAAUGACAAAGACAAGGACAAAGGUAAUCUCAAAAUGGUAAGACCCUAAUAACUUAAAGAUCCGCGCAUAAACCUCUUUUAUCUUAGGAUACCAAAGAGAUUGAAAGUCUUCAAACAAACUUUAUAAGAUUAACAAGAAAUUCACUGUCAAAGAACAUGACAGCUCACUCUUCAUCUUCUUCAUCUCCAUCUCCACCAGAUGCUUUCUUGGCAGCAGACUUCUGGUUCUUUCGCUUCACUCUACCAGGGCGUCCACCACCAAAGGGACUUGUGAGAGAGAAAUCAAUGUGCUUCUGCGAGUCCACCCUCACCAUGAAAGAUGGAAUAUUGACCACCUGCCUCCCAACCCUGUAGGACCAAGGGAAAUAUCAAUGAAAAAAUCCAGAAUCCGACUGUAGCAUGCCAAAACACAAAAUGUGAAGGCAGAUCAGGUCAAAAUAGUUUAUAGAUAUAAAUUGAAAGUUUUGAUAAGCAAAUCUCAAGCUCUGAAAUCACAGGACCUUAGAUGUAUGCGAAUUCCGCAGAAAAGAAGCCAAAACCAUUAUAACCAGAAAAAACAAGAAGAUGAAAAGAAAAUACUGUUCGAAAAAUAGGAGAUGCAAACAAUUGCAUUGAUUAUCUAACCCAAAUACAUCAGCUCAAUCAACAUAAGAAUUAGAAUUAUUAUACUUACCUAAUGUGCUUCUGUUUAAUGAGAACUCGGGCAUGGUGGAUCGACUUCGCCAUACCAGCCUUGAAAACAAGUGUCUGGAGGCGGCGCUCGAGAAAGUUCUCCACCGUAAGGGCCAACACGUAAUCCAGCUUGUUCUGGCUCUCCUCCAAAAGCCCAUACCUAUUCAUCCUCCUCAAAAGCGCCUCACCCUCAAAGAUACGCCGUGAGUUCUUCUCAUCAAGGGUUAGAAGCAUUCUGGCAGCAUUACGAAUGCGACUCAAUGCAUACUGGACCCUCCAGAGUUCCCUCUUGGCACGGAGCCCGUACUCUCCGACGAGCUUCAGCUCAGCAUCCAAACGUUCCUUCUCAUAGGGACGCCUGGGUUUCUUAA
This 4240-nucleotide long non-coding RNA is filed under the name Populus tremula. RNAcentral describes it as "long non-coding RNA (PTRE_LNC001208)". The record is from RNAcentral. Lineage: Eukaryota; Viridiplantae; Streptophyta; Magnoliopsida; Malpighiales; Salicaceae.